GACGAACGCUGGCGGCGUGCUUAACACAUGCAAGUCGAACGGAAAGGCCCUGCUUUUGUGGGGUGCUCGAGUGGCGAACGGGUGAGUAACACGUGAGUAACCUGCCCUUGACUUUGGGAUAACUUCAGGAAACUGGGGCUAAUACCGGAUAGGAGCUCCUGCUGCAUGGUGGGGGUUGGAAAGUUUCGGCGGUUGGGGAUGGACUCGCGGCUUAUCAGCUUGUUGGUGGGGUAGUGGCUUACCAAGGCUUUGACGGGUAGCCGGCCUGGGAGGGUGACCGGCCACAUUGGGACUGAGAUACGGCCCAGACUCCUACGGUAGGCAGCAGUGGGGAAUAUUGCACAAUGGGCGGAAGCCUGAUGCAGCAACGCCGCGUGCGGGAUGACGGCCUUCGGGUUGUAAACCGCUUUCGCCUGUGACGAAGCGUGAGUGACGGUAAUGGGUAAAGAAGCACCGGCUAACUACGUG
Molecule: ribosomal RNA, 468 nt
Filed under: uncultured bacterium
Lineage: Bacteria
Description: partial 16S ribosomal RNA
Rfam family: Bacterial small subunit ribosomal RNA
Source: RNAcentral